GAAAGAGUAGCAAGGCUAUAACCAGGCUGCAGGUGUCUCAGAGUCAGCUCCACUACUCUCAUGCUGUACUAAGUUACUGGGCUAAGCUUCAGUUUUCUUAUUUGUAACAAAGAGGCCAUGUUCACUGCAGAGCCAUGUUAAAAAUCACAGUAGUAAAUAUACAGUGUUUAGAUAGUGCUUGGCAUAGUGAGAAGGUUGCAAGGGCUAUUCCCAUCAUCAGCAAUGUUUUGCACUGAGAUUGUUGCAUCUUACUCUCCAUGGCAUCAUUCAUGUCCUGCUCAAAUGUCAUCUCCUCACAGAACCACUCUGAUCCCCUUUUCCAAAUAACCCCACAAAUUGUGUAAACUUCCUAUUCCUUGGCCCAGUUUCAGGGCAAUUAUUAUUAUUAGAAUUUAAGUUUUAUGUUUAUUUGUUUAUUAUAUCUUCCACUCUCUCCAAAAUAAACCCUUGAAGAUAGGAUCUACUGUUUACUACAGAUUCUAAUGUGGGUUGUCGUGGAAUCAUGGUAUUGAAUUUUAGCUCUUUUCCAUCUGCUUUUCUUUCAACCUGUGUGGUCCAUCCGCUCAGGGCUUAAUACCAAGACUAACUAUAAAAUACGGGGAAGAGGCCGGGUGUGCCUGUAAUCCUAGCACUUUGGGAGGCUGAGGCAGGUGGAUCAUGAGGUCAUGAGUUCGAGACCAGCCAGGCCAACAUGGUGAAACCUUGUCUCUACUAAAAAUACAAAAAUUAGCCAGGUGUGGUGGCACAUGCCUGUAAUCCCAGCUACUCAGGAGGCUGAGGCAGGAGAAUUGCAUGAACCCGGAAGGCAGAGGUUGCAGUGAGCCGAGAUCACACCACUACACUCCAGCUGGGGUAACAGAGUCAGACUCCAUCUCAAAUAAAAAAAAAAUAUAUAUGGGGAAGGGGGCUGUGGUUUCCGACGUACCUUCAAAUAAAGAACAGUGAUGUGAAGAACCAAACACUUGACCAAUGGGACCUCCCAGCCCAUUCUAAGAAAUGGCAUGGGAAAAUCAAUCUAAGGAAUAAUGUGCUGGGAAGUCUGGACAUGCCACUGCGUGUGCGAGAGCCCAGAGGUCAUGUGGGCACUUGGAAAUGCUGACCUGCACAAUUAGCAUCACAAGCAUUUUUGUGGUCAUUAAAUACACAUGACAUAUUGAAGAGGACACAUUGAAGAAAAUUACUGUAAUGAAUGAUGAGCUUGGAGUUUAAACAGCAGAUCAUCCCUGGAUCAUCUGUCUCCAGGGAAUGAAGCUGGUGAGCUGAGGCCCUGUGGUGUUUAAAUAGCAGAUCAUCUCUGGAUCAUCUGUUUCCAGGGAAUGAAGCUGGUGAGCUGAGGCCUUGUGUUUAAAUAGCAGACCAUCCCUGGAUCUUCUAUUUCCAGGGAAUGAAACUGGUGAGCUGAGGCCCUGUGGUGGAACACAGACACUACACUCUGAACCCCGGAAGCAGGAUUCUUUCUUUUGAGAACUGUUAUUCAAAGCUACUUGAAAGUUAAUCUCUAAAACCAAAAACCACAAAACUACUCUUUCCAUGGAGCAACUCAGGUGAGAACUUAAAAACAAAUAUUUUAGGCACAGACAUUUCCUUAAAGUUCAUGUAUUUCCUUAAGUCUAUUCUAUUCUACUUUGUCUUCCUAAUCCAUCAUUUGUGUUUGUUUGUUUCCGUAGAUUUAAUUAAACAAACAACAUAUGGCUAAAAAUUAAUUUUGGCAUGUCUCAACGUGGACACCUGGAAUCAGCUAGCUGACUCAUUACUAAAAGAAAAGAUAACAGUUUCGAAAAGCUAAAAAUAAUAAUUGAAAGACCCACCUAUCUCAAAGUGAAUGUUAAGAAAAUACAUUUUUUAAGAAAGGAAGUGAUGAAUAUACCUAUAGCUAAUAUUAUGGGUGAACCUGACAAAUAGAAUACUGAGUAAAAGAAAAUAUAAAAAGUACAUCCUUUAGAGUUUUAUUUCUAUAAAGUUCAGAAACAGGUUAAAAGUAAUUAUGGCAUUAGAAGUUAGGCUCCUCUUGGUGGCAGCAAUUACUAGAAAUGAGCGUAAGUUAGGCUUCUAAAGUCCUCAAAACAUCCUCUACUUUCUUUUUAAGGCAGUUGCUGAAUAGCAGAAAUAUCUGUUCUUUUGAGGAUCUAUUAAGCUGUACACUUACAAUUUGUCAUUUUGUUUAGGGUUAUUAAAGUUUAUAGGAGGCCAUUGUUUUGGACCAGCCUCCUGCACUGGGCUCCAGCAGACCAGACCCAACCAGAAUGAAGUCGUUUGUGCUAAUGCCAUGUAAUCAAACUUAACUUUGAAAUGAGCCAGUUUUCAAAAAACCAGGAGAUUCCAGUCAACCCUGGUCAGCAUAAUAAGGACGUUUCCUCUGUUUUAAUCCUACAAGGAAAGUAACUUUGAAACCAACAAUCUGCUUUUUGUUCUGUUUCUACUUGCUUCAGCCCUUUUUUCUCUAUAAGGUCAACCUUCUCUGCUGAGCUCAUUGGAACACCCGUUCUAUUUUAUAGAAUGUGAUAUUGACAAAUUCUAGAAUUUCAAAUAAAGGCCAAUUAUAU
This 2543-nucleotide long non-coding RNA is filed under the name Homo sapiens (human). RNAcentral's name for it is "HSALNT0399472". Lineage: Eukaryota; Metazoa; Chordata; Mammalia; Primates; Hominidae. The record is from RNAcentral.